This 1530-nucleotide ribosomal RNA is filed under the name Enterobacter sp. MGH 24. Its description in RNAcentral is "bacterial SSU rRNA". It matches the Rfam family "Bacterial small subunit ribosomal RNA". The record is from RNAcentral. Lineage: Bacteria; Pseudomonadati; Pseudomonadota; Gammaproteobacteria; Enterobacterales; Enterobacteriaceae.
AGAGUUUGAUCAUGGCUCAGAUUGAACGCUGGCGGCAGGCCUAACACAUGCAAGUCGAGCGGUAGCACAGGAGAGCUUGCUCUCCGGGUGACGAGCGGCGGACGGGUGAGUAAUGUCUGGGAAACUGCCUGAUGGAGGGGGAUAACUACUGGAAACGGUAGCUAAUACCGCAUAAUGUCGCAAGACCAAAGAGGGGGACCUUCGGGCCUCUUGCCAUCAGAUGUGCCCAGAUGGGAUUAGCUAGUAGGUGGGGUAACGGCUCACCUAGGCGACGAUCCCUAGCUGGUCUGAGAGGAUGACCAGCCACACUGGAACUGAGACACGGUCCAGACUCCUACGGGAGGCAGCAGUGGGGAAUAUUGCACAAUGGGCGCAAGCCUGAUGCAGCCAUGCCGCGUGUAUGAAGAAGGCCUUCGGGUUGUAAAGUACUUUCAGCGGGGAGGAAGGUGUUGAGGUUAAUAACCUCAGCAAUUGACGUUACCCGCAGAAGAAGCACCGGCUAACUCCGUGCCAGCAGCCGCGGUAAUACGGAGGGUGCAAGCGUUAAUCGGAAUUACUGGGCGUAAAGCGCACGCAGGCGGUCUGUCAAGUCGGAUGUGAAAUCCCCGGGCUCAACCUGGGAACUGCAUUCGAAACUGGCAGGCUAGAGUCUUGUAGAGGGGGGUAGAAUUCCAGGUGUAGCGGUGAAAUGCGUAGAGAUCUGGAGGAAUACCGGUGGCGAAGGCGGCCCCCUGGACAAAGACUGACGCUCAGGUGCGAAAGCGUGGGGAGCAAACAGGAUUAGAUACCCUGGUAGUCCACGCCGUAAACGAUGUCGACUUGGAGGUUGUGCCCUUGAGGCGUGGCUUCCGGAGCUAACGCGUUAAGUCGACCGCCUGGGGAGUACGGCCGCAAGGUUAAAACUCAAAUGAAUUGACGGGGGCCCGCACAAGCGGUGGAGCAUGUGGUUUAAUUCGAUGCAACGCGAAGAACCUUACCUACUCUUGACAUCCAGAGAACUUUCCAGAGAUGGAUUGGUGCCUUCGGGAACUCUGAGACAGGUGCUGCAUGGCUGUCGUCAGCUCGUGUUGUGAAAUGUUGGGUUAAGUCCCGCAACGAGCGCAACCCUUAUCCUUUGUUGCCAGCGGUUCGGCCGGGAACUCAAAGGAGACUGCCAGUGAUAAACUGGAGGAAGGUGGGGAUGACGUCAAGUCAUCAUGGCCCUUACGAGUAGGGCUACACACGUGCUACAAUGGCGCAUACAAAGAGAAGCGACCUCGCGAGAGCAAGCGGACCUCAUAAAGUGCGUCGUAGUCCGGAUUGGAGUCUGCAACUCGACUCCAUGAAGUCGGAAUCGCUAGUAAUCGUAGAUCAGAAUGCUACGGUGAAUACGUUCCCGGGCCUUGUACACACCGCCCGUCACACCAUGGGAGUGGGUUGCAAAAGAAGUAGGUAGCUUAACCUUCGGGAGGGCGCUUACCACUUUGUGAUUCAUGACUGGGGUGAAGUCGUAACAAGGUAACCGUAGGGGAACCUGCGGUUGGAUCACCU